UACGAAGGGGGCUAGCGUUGCUCGGAAUCACUGGGCGUAAAGCGCACGUAGGCGGAUCUUUAAGUCAGGGGUGAAAUCCCGGAGCUCAACUCCGGAACUGCCUUUGAUACUGGAGAUCUUGAGUCCGGGAGAGGUGAGUGGAACUGCGAGUGUAGAGGUGAAAUUCGUAGAUAUUAGGAAGAACACCAGUGGCGAAGGCGGCUCACUGGUCCGGUACUGGACGCUGAGGUGCGAAAGCGUGGGGAGCAAACAGGG
Molecule: ribosomal RNA, 255 nt
Filed under: uncultured bacterium
Lineage: Bacteria
Description: partial 16S ribosomal RNA
Rfam family: Bacterial small subunit ribosomal RNA
Source: RNAcentral